This 1143-nucleotide long non-coding RNA is filed under the name Gallus gallus (chicken). RNAcentral describes it as "lncRNA (ENSGALG00010007058.1)". The record is from RNAcentral. Lineage: Eukaryota; Metazoa; Chordata; Aves; Galliformes; Phasianidae.
GAUAAAUGUAAUAGUAAUUAACUCUCACAGCAGAUGAAAGAAAAAAAAUGAAGGGGUCCUCAAGUAAAGGGAACUAACCUGUGCUACCUUGACAGAAGACACCGGAAGCUAUUCAAAUGAGAAGAGAUGGAUGGAUAAUUCUGACGUUCUCAGCCUCAGUCUGGAGAGGGAUCUGGAAGGAGCUGGGAGCCUGCUCAGCUGUUGCUUGACGGACUGCUUUUCAUCCAUUUUGAGAGGAAGCCUCAGAAGCUGAGCUCUCGGGCGGGAAUGGAGGACGAAGUGAGGUGCAAGGGAGCAUGUGGCCCAGAAGAGGCAUACAAAUCCUGCCUACACACUCUAUGCGAACAGCCGGAGCUGACUCACGGGCAGCACAGGAUGAGACGUUUCUCGGAGAAGAGGGAGGGGUGUGGUUAUCGUUGUCAUUUCACCGUAGCAGAUAGAACGCUGUCUGGAGACACCGCCCUUGCUGGAAAAUUGAUUAAGGUCUGGAUUUGGAAGGUGGGCAUUUCCUCUAUUUGCAGUUACCGUAUUAGGUUUUCACUUAGGGGGGGGGGGGAAGGAAAAGAAGAAACAACCCUGUUUCUCUUGUUCCUGUUACCUCCCUGUGUCACAGCAAUUCUCUGCAUGAGAACUGCUGCUUCUUUUUUUUCCUCCCCCUCUAGGAACAGUUGCUUUAGGAGUGAUUCUGGUAACCUGAUACCACUUGAUGUAUUUUUGCUGGAAUAUGGAGCCUACAUAAAUUGCACCAUAAGCAAAUUUCUUUAUAAUGGAAGGAUCGGGAAGCUGCAGCUUGGCAGGCCGCUUCGUUGGUGUGUGUGUGCUUUUUUUUUUUAAGGUGGAUUUUUCAGACACUUCUUAACAGGCGGUGUUUGCUAAAAAGGAGAAUUUUGCUGAAAGAUAUGGGGAAUACGUGGUUGCCACUGUUUGUACAGAGCAUCCCACCUGUAGGCAAAGAGCCCUAAGUUCAAAACAGAUGCUGCCUGCCUGCCAAAUACCGCUCCAUAACCUGAAAGGAAAACCAUUGUUGUUUGCCCUUUCCUAUUUGUCUGACUAAUUACUGCUGGUGUCACAGUUGCCCAGAGGGCCUUACUGAAAACAAAUCCCAUCCUCACAGUCUCAAAUGCAGACUUCUUUAGAUUCAGG